This is a long non-coding RNA of Sander lucioperca (pikeperch), 296 nucleotides long. RefSeq lists it as uncharacterized. Lineage: Eukaryota; Metazoa; Chordata; Actinopteri; Perciformes; Percidae. The record is from RefSeq and is a predicted model, not a curated record. The transcript has 3 exons.
UUUAGAUUACUGUUAAGCGGUAGACUGUACGGCUAAGGACGAUAACGUUAACGGACCUACACUGAAAGAAUGACUCGACCUAGCUACACUGAAGGAAUAGAACAGUGGCUAAGAUGUUGAUAAAGGUAAAAUGCAGAGGGACAAUGAAAUAUGUUAAAAUGGAAGAAGUCAGCUUCUCAGACUUUAUCAGUGCAGUGCAGCAGAAGUUUCUCAUACCAGAAAGUACACCGCUAAAAGUCACAGAUGAGCAGGGCAUAGAGGUGGAUGACAAUGUCUUUCCAGAACUUGCAACAGCC